Molecule: ribosomal RNA, 254 nt
Filed under: uncultured bacterium
Lineage: Bacteria
Description: partial 16S ribosomal RNA
Rfam family: Bacterial small subunit ribosomal RNA
Source: RNAcentral
UACGGAGGGGGCUAGCGUUAUUCGGAAUUACUGGGCGUAAAGCGCACGUAGGCGGCUUUGCAAGUUAGAGGUGAAAGCCUGGAGCUCAACUCCAGAACUGCCUUUAAAACUGCAUCGCUUGAAUCCAGGAGAGGUGAGUGGAAUUCCGAGUGUAGAGGUGAAAUUCGUAGAUAUUCGCAAGAACACCAGUGGCGAAGGCGGCUCACUGGCCCAUAACUGACGCUGAGGCACGGAAAGCGUGGGGAGCAAACAGG